GACGAAGGUGGCGAGCGUUGUUCGGAAUCACUGGGCAUAAAGCGCACGUAGGCGGUGCCGUAAGUCAGAUGUGAAAUCCCUCGGCCUAACCGAGGAACUGCGUCUGAUACUGCGGUGCUUGAGGAUCAGAGGGGUGCAUGGAAUUUCCGGUGGAGCGGUGAAAUGCGUUGAUAUCGGAAGGAACUCCGGCGGCGAAAGCGAUGCACUGGCUGAUUUCUGACGCUGAGGUGCGAAAGCCAGGGGAGCAAACGGG
RNAcentral lists this ribosomal RNA (253 nucleotides) under Anaerolineae bacterium. RNAcentral's name for it is "partial 16S ribosomal RNA". It matches the Rfam family "Bacterial small subunit ribosomal RNA", at positions 524 to 776 of the family's 1533-position model. RNAcentral also lists the same sequence under 1 other name. The record is from RNAcentral. Lineage: Bacteria; Bacillati; Chloroflexota; Anaerolineae.